Molecule: ribosomal RNA, 253 nt
Filed under: uncultured bacterium
Lineage: Bacteria
Description: partial 16S ribosomal RNA
Rfam family: Bacterial small subunit ribosomal RNA
Source: RNAcentral
UACAUAGGUGGCAAGCGUUGUUCGGAAUUACUGGGCGUAAAGGGCGCGUAGGCGGUCUUUUAAGUCCUGUGUGAAAUCCCUCGGCUCAACUGAGGAACUGCACGGGAUACUGGAAGACUUGAGUUCGGGAGAGGGAUGCGGAAUUCCAGGUGUAGCGGUGAAAUGCGUAGAUAUCUGGAGGAACACCGGUGGCGAAGGCGGCAUCCUGGACCGAUACUGACGCUGAGGAGCGAAAGCCAGGGGAGCAAACGGG